UACGGGGGGGGCAAGCGUUGUCCGGAAUCAUUGGGCGUAAAGCGCGUGUAGGCGGCUCGGUAAGUCUGCUGUGAAAGUCCAGGGCUCAACCCUGGGAUGCCGGUGGAUACUGUCGAGCUCGAGUCCGGAAGAGGCGAGUGGAAUUCCUGGUGUAGCGGUGAAAUGCGCAGAUACCAGGAGGAACACCAAUGGCGAAGGCAGCUCGCUGGGACGUGACUGACGCUGAGACGCGAAAGCGUGGGGAGCAAACAGG
This 253-nucleotide ribosomal RNA is filed under the name uncultured bacterium. Its description in RNAcentral is "partial 16S ribosomal RNA". It matches the Rfam family "Bacterial small subunit ribosomal RNA", at positions 524 to 776 of the family's 1533-position model. The record is from RNAcentral.